This 915-nucleotide ribosomal RNA is filed under the name uncultured marine bacterium. RNAcentral's name for it is "bacterial SSU rRNA". It matches the Rfam family "Bacterial small subunit ribosomal RNA", at positions 56 to 969 of the family's 1533-position model. The record is from RNAcentral.
UGCAAGUCGAGCGCGAAAGCACUUCGGUGUGAGUAAAGCGGCGGACGGGUGAGUAACGCGUAGGAAUCUACCUAGUAGUGGGGGACAACUCGGGGAAACUCGAGCUAAUACCGCAUACGCCCUACGGGGGUAAGCGGGGGACCUUCGGGCCUCGUGCUAUUAGAUGAGCCUGCGUUGGAUUAGCUAGUUGGUGGGGUAAUGGCCUACCAAGGCGACGAUCCAUAGCUGGUCUGAGAGGAUGAUCAGCCACACCGGGACUGAGACACGGCCCGGACUCCUACGGGAGGCAGCAGUGGGGAAUAUUGCGCAAUGGGCGAAAGCCUGACGCAGCCAUGCCGCGUGUGUGAAGAAGGCCUUCGGAUUGUAAAGCACUUUCAAUUGGGAGGAAAGGCUCACGACUAAUACUCGUGAGCUGUGACGUUACCUUUAGAAGAAGCACCGGCUAACUCCGUGCCAGCAGCCGCGGUAAUACGGAGGGUGCGAGCGUUAAUCGGAAUUACUGGGCGUAAAGCGCGCGUAGGUGGUCUGUUAAGUCGGAUGUGAAAGCCCCGGGCUCAACCUGGGAACUGCAUCCGAUACUGGCAGACUAGAGUGCGGGAGAGGGAGGUAGAAUUCCACGUGUAGCGGUGAAAUGCGUAGAUAUGUGGAGGAAUACCAGUGGCGAAGGCGGCCUCCUGGCUCGACACUGACACUGAGGUGCGAAAGCGUGGGUAGCAAACAGGAUUAGAUACCCUGGUAGUCCACGCCGUAAACGAUGUCUACUAGCUGUAGGGGUACUUGAGACCUUUGUAGCGCAGCUAACGCACUAAGUAGACCGCCUGGGGAGUACGGCCGCAAGGUUAAAACUCAAAUGAAUUGACGGGGGCCCGCACAAGCAGUGGAGCAUGUGGUUUAAUUCGAUGCAACGCGAAGAAC